UACGUAGGGGGCUAGCGUUGUCCGGAUUUAUUGGGCGUAAAGAGCGUGUAGGCGGCCAUGUAGGUCCGGUGUAAAAACUCGAGGCUUAACCUCGAGAUGUCAUCGGAAACCAUUUGGCUAGAGUCCGGAAGAGGAGAGUGGAAUUCCUGGUGUAGCGGUGAAAUGCGCAGAUAUCAGGAAGAACACCAAUGGCGAAAGCAGCUCUCUGGGACGGUACUGACGCUGAGACGCGAAAGCGUGGGGAGCGAACAGG
Molecule: ribosomal RNA, 253 nt
Filed under: uncultured bacterium
Lineage: Bacteria
Description: partial 16S ribosomal RNA
Rfam family: Bacterial small subunit ribosomal RNA
Source: RNAcentral